This 348-nucleotide ribosomal RNA is filed under the name uncultured bacterium. Its description in RNAcentral is "bacterial SSU rRNA". It matches the Rfam family "Bacterial small subunit ribosomal RNA", at positions 8 to 350 of the family's 1533-position model. The record is from RNAcentral.
AGAGUUUGAUCAUGGCUCAGGAUGAACGCUAGCUACAGGCUUGACACAUGCAAGUCGAGGGGAAACGACAUCGAAAGCUUGCUUUUGAUGGGCGUCGACCGGCGCACGGGUGAGUAACGCGUAUCCAACCUGCCCACCACUUGGGGAUAACCUUGCGAAAGUAAGGCUAAUACCCAAUGACGUCUCUAGAAGACAUCUGAAGGAGAUUAAAGAUUUAUCGGUGAUGGAUGGGGAUGCGUCUGAUUAGCUUGUUGGCGGGGUAACGCCACCAAGGCGACGAUCAGUAGGGGUUCUGAGAGGAAGGUCCCCANAUUGGAACUGAGACACGGUCCAAACUCCUACGGGGCA